GGCUUCUUGCUGCUUUAAUAUAAGAAGUCUGACCUGCCCAGUGAAAUUUUUAACGGCCGCGGUACUCUGACCGUGCAAAGGUAGCAUAAUCACUUGCCUUAUAAUUGAAGGCUUGUAUGAAUGGUUUGACAAGAAUAAAACUGUCUCUUUUUAAAUACAUAGAAUUUGAUUUUUAGGUGAAGAAGCCUAAAUUAAAUUGAAAGACAAGAAGACCCUAUCGAGCUUAAAAACUUUUUAUUAUAUAAUGAUUAAAUCAAAUUUUAAUAAAAAUUUUUAGUUGGGGCGACUAAGGAACAAAAAAGCUUCCUUUAAAAUUAUUUACUAAUAGGUUUUGAUCCAAAAUAUUUGAUCAUAAAAACUAGUUACCGUAGGGAUAACAGCAUAAUUUUUCUUCAGAGCUCAUAUCGAAAGAAAAGUUUGUGACCUCGAUGUUGGACUAGGAUAUCCUGAUAGAUGUAGAAGUCUUCAAUGGNUGGUCUGUUCGACCAGUAAUAUCCU
This 498-nucleotide ribosomal RNA is filed under the name Heleobia sp. UCH Tilomonte1-4. RNAcentral's name for it is "partial 16S large subunit ribosomal RNA". It matches the Rfam family "Bacterial large subunit ribosomal RNA", at positions 1816 to 2597 of the family's 2925-position model. The record is from RNAcentral. Lineage: Eukaryota; Metazoa; Mollusca; Gastropoda; Littorinimorpha; Cochliopidae.